ACGAACGCUGGCGGCGUGCUUAACACAUGCCAGUCGAACGGUAAGGCCCCAGCUUGCUGGGGUACACGAGUGGCGAACGGGUGAGUAACACGUGGGUGACCUGCCCCGCACUUCGGGAUAAGCCUGGGAAACUGGGUCUAAUACCGGAUAGGACCGCACCGUGAGGGUGUGGUGGAAAGUUUUUCGGUGUGGGAUGGGCCCGCGGCCUAUCAGCUUGUUGGUGGGGUAAUGGCCUACCAAGGCGGCGACGGGUAGCCGGCCUGAGAGGGUGGACGGCCACAUUGGGACUGAGACACGGCCCAGACUCCUACGGGAGGCAGCAGUGGGGAAUAUUGCACAAUGGGCGGAAGCCUGAUGCAGCGACGCCGCGUGGGGGAUGACGGCCUUCGGGUUGUAAACUCCUUUCACCAUCGACGAAGGUUUUCUGACGGUAGAUGGAGAAGAAGCACCGGCUAACUACGUG
This 463-nucleotide ribosomal RNA is filed under the name uncultured bacterium. RNAcentral's name for it is "partial 16S ribosomal RNA". It matches the Rfam family "Bacterial small subunit ribosomal RNA", at positions 29 to 507 of the family's 1533-position model. The record is from RNAcentral.